CCUACGGGUGGCAGCAGUGAGGAAUAUUGGUCAAUGGACGAGAGUCUGAACCAGCCAAGCCGCGUGCAGGAUGACUGCUCUAUGAGUUGUAAACUUCUUUUGUAUGGGGGUAAUCACCUUUACGUGUAGGGGCUUGACAGUAUAAUACGAAUAAGGAUCGGCUAACUCCGUGCCAGCAGCCGCGGUAAUACGGAGGAUGCAAGCGUUAUCCGGAUUUAUUGGGUUUAAAGGGUGCGUAGGCGGGUUUAUAAGUUAGUGGUGAAAUAACGGGGCUCCACCCCGGAACUGCCUCUAAUACUGUAGAACUAGAGAGCAGAUGCGGUAGGCGGAAUAUAUGAAGUAGCGGUGAAAUGCAUAGAGAUAACACAGAACACCGAUAGCGAAGGCAGCUUACCAGACUAUAUCUGACGCUGAUGCACGAGAGCAUGGGUAGCAAACAGGAUUAGAUACCCCUGUAGUC
Molecule: ribosomal RNA, 460 nt
Filed under: uncultured bacterium
Lineage: Bacteria
Description: partial 16S ribosomal RNA
Rfam family: Bacterial small subunit ribosomal RNA
Source: RNAcentral